RNAcentral lists this ribosomal RNA (465 nucleotides) under uncultured bacterium. RNAcentral's name for it is "partial 16S ribosomal RNA". It matches the Rfam family "Bacterial small subunit ribosomal RNA", at positions 28 to 507 of the family's 1533-position model. The record is from RNAcentral.
GACGAACGCUGGCGGCGUGCUUAACACAUGCAAGUCGAGCGGAAAGGCCCUGCUUGCAGGGUACUCGAGUGGCGAACGGGUGAGUAACACGUGGGUGAUCUGCCCUGCACUUCGGGAUAAGCCUGGGAAACUGGGUCUAAUACCGGAUAUGACCUUCCAUGUAGUGUGGGGGGUGGAAAGAUUUAUCGGUGUGGGAUGAGCCCGCGGCCUAUCAGCUUGUUGGUGGGGUAAUGGCCUACCAAGGCGUCGACGGGUAGCCGGCCUGAGAGGGUGGACGGCCACAUUGGGACUGAGAUACGGCCCAGACUCCUACGGGAGGCAGCAGUGGGGAAUAUUGCACAAUGGGCGGAAGCCUGAUGCAGCGACGCCGCGUGGGGGAUGACGGCCUUCGGGUUGUAAACCUCUUUCGACAGGGACGAAGCUUCGGUGACGGUACCUGUAGAAGAAGCACCGGCUAACUACGUG